CUACGGGGUGCAGCAGUAGGGAAUUUUCGGCAAUGGGCGCAAGCCUGACCGGGCAACGCCGCGUGAGUGAUUAAGGCCUUCGGGUCGUAAAGCUCUGUUGUAAAGGAAGAACGAUCAGUAUAGGAAAUGAUACUGAUGUAACGGUACUUUACCAGAAAGCCACGGCUAACUACGUGCCAGCAGCCGCGGUAAUACGUAGGUGGCAAGCGUUAUCCGGAAUUAUUGGGCGUAAAGGGAGCGUAGGCGGUUUAUUAAGUCUAUGGUGAAAGUGCGGGGCUCAACCCCGUAUGGCCAUAGAAACUGAUAGACUAGAGUGCAGAAGAGGGUAGUGGAAUUCCAUAUGUAGCGGUAAAAUGCGUAGAUAUAUGGAGGAACACCGGUGGCGAAGGCGGCUACCUGGUCUGUUACUGACGCUGAGGCUCGAAAGCGUGGGGAGCAAAUAGGAUUAGAUACCCGUGUAGUC
Molecule: ribosomal RNA, 463 nt
Filed under: uncultured bacterium
Lineage: Bacteria
Description: partial 16S ribosomal RNA
Rfam family: Bacterial small subunit ribosomal RNA
Source: RNAcentral